Molecule: transfer RNA, 85 nt
Filed under: Sulfitobacter indolifex
Lineage: Bacteria; Pseudomonadati; Pseudomonadota; Alphaproteobacteria; Rhodobacterales; Roseobacteraceae
Description: tRNA-Leu
Source: RNAcentral
CGGCAGGCGGGCGUUGGAUUGAAGUGCCGCGAUCAAAACGCGGUCAGUGUCGUCGAUUUGAUGUGCCAUGUCGUCACUCUGCCGA